UACGGAGGAUGCGAGCGUUAUCCGGAUUUAUUGGGUUUAAAGGGUGCGUAGGCGGUAUUUUAAGUUAGUGGUAAAACGUCGGGGCUUCACCUUGAUUGGCCAUUAAAACUGGAGUACUAGAGUACAGACGAGGUAGGCGGAAUAAGUUAAGUAGCGGUGAAAUGCUUAGAUAUAACUUAGAACCCCGAUAGCGAAGGCAGCUUACCGCAGCGUUACUGACGCUGAAGCUCGAAAGCGCGGGUAGCAAACAGG
This 252-nucleotide ribosomal RNA is filed under the name uncultured Odoribacter sp. Its description in RNAcentral is "partial 16S ribosomal RNA". It matches the Rfam family "Bacterial small subunit ribosomal RNA", at positions 524 to 776 of the family's 1533-position model. Lineage: Bacteria; Pseudomonadati; Bacteroidota; Bacteroidia; Bacteroidales; Odoribacteraceae. The record is from RNAcentral.